AUUGAACGCUGGCGGCAUGCUUUACACAUGCAAGUCGAACGGUAACAGGUUAAGCUGACGAGUGGCGAACGGGUGAGUAAUGCAUCGGAACGUGCCCGAUCGUGGGGGAUAACGCAGCGAAAGCUGCGCUAAUUCCGCAUACGAUCUGAGGAUGAAAGCGGGGGACCGUAAGGCCUCGCGCGAUCGGAGCGGCCGAUGUCAGAUUAGGUAGUUGGUGGGGUAAAGGCUCACCAAGCCGACGAUCUGUAGCUGGUCUGAGAGGACGACCAGCCACACUGGGACUGAGACACGGCCCAGACUCCUACGGGAGGCAGCAGUGGGGAAUUUUGGACAAUGGGCGAAAGCCUGAUCCAGCAAUGCCGAGUGCAGGAAGAAGGCCUUCGGGUUGUAAACUGCUUUUGUACGGAGCGAAAAGGCUCUCUCUAAUACAGGGGGCUCAUGACGGUACCGUAAGAAUAAGCACCGGCUAACUACGUGCCAGCCGCCGCGGUAA
This 493-nucleotide ribosomal RNA is filed under the name uncultured bacterium. Its description in RNAcentral is "partial 16S ribosomal RNA". It matches the Rfam family "Bacterial small subunit ribosomal RNA", at positions 30 to 523 of the family's 1533-position model. The record is from RNAcentral.